UGCAAGUCGAGCGGACAGAUGGGAGCUUGCUCCCUGAUGUUAGCGGCGGACGGGUGAGUAACACGUGGGUAACCUGCCUGUAAGACUGGGAUAACUCCGGGAAACCGGGGCUAAUACCGGAUGGUUGUUUGAACCGCAUGGUUCAGACAUAAAAGGUGGCUUCGGCUACCACUUACAGAUGGACCCGCGGCGCAUUAGCUAGUUGGUGAGGUAACGGCUCACCAAGGCAACGAUGCGUAGCCGACCUGAGAGGGUGAUCGGCCACACUGGGACUGAGACACGGCCCAAACUCCUACGGGAGGCAGCAGUAGGGAAUCUUCCGCAAUGGACGAAAGUCUGACGGAGCAACGCCGCGUGAGUGAUGAAGGUUUUCGGAUCGUAAAGCUCUGUUGUUAGGGAAGAACAAGUGCCGUUCGAAUAGGGCGGCUCCUUGACGGUACCUAACCAGAAAGCCACGGCUAACUACGUGCCAUCAGCCGCGGUAAUACGUAAGUGGCAAGCGUUGUCCGGAAUUAUUGGGCGUAAAGGGCUCGCAGGCGGUUUCUUAAGUCUGAUGUGAAA
Molecule: ribosomal RNA, 561 nt
Filed under: Bacillus sp. (in: firmicutes)
Lineage: Bacteria; Bacillati; Bacillota; Bacilli; Caryophanales; Bacillaceae
Description: bacterial SSU rRNA
Rfam family: Bacterial small subunit ribosomal RNA
Source: RNAcentral